Molecule: long non-coding RNA, 456 nt
Filed under: Pan troglodytes (chimpanzee)
Lineage: Eukaryota; Metazoa; Chordata; Mammalia; Primates; Hominidae
Description: long non-coding RNA NONPTRT012804
Source: RNAcentral
AGAUCAACCAUUGAAAGUAUUUAGUGGGCAUACAGCAAAAGUGUUUCAUGUUAAAUGGUCUCCUCUGAGAGAGGGAAUUCUUUGCAGUGGUUCUGAUGAUGGUACCGUUCGAAUCUGGGAUUAUACUCAGGAUGCUUGCAUCAAUAUUCUUAAUGGACACACUGCACCUGUGAGAGGAUUAAUGUGGAAUACUGAGAUUCCAUAUCUGCUCAUAUCUGGCAGCUGGGACUAUACUAUAAAAGUAUGGGACACUCGAGAAGGAACUUGUGUGGAUACUGUGUAUGAUCACGGUGCAGAUGUAUAUGGUUUAACCUGCCAUUCCAGUCGCCCCUUCACUAUGGCCUCUUGCUCCCGUGACUCUACAGUGAGACUGUGGUCAUUAACAGCCUUAGUCACUCCUGUACAAAUAAAUAUUCUGGCAGACAGAUCUUGGGAAGAAAUUAUUGGGAACACUGG